This is a regulatory RNA element of Clostridium sulfidigenes, 103 nucleotides long. It matches the Rfam family "SAM riboswitch aptamer (S box leader)". Rfam says of the family: The SAM riboswitch is found upstream of a number of genes which code for proteins involved in methionine or cysteine biosynthesis in Gram-positive bacteria. The SAM riboswitch acts at the level of transcription termination control. The record is from Rfam. NCBI's taxonomy places the organism in Bacteria, Bacillati, Bacillota, Clostridia, Eubacteriales, Clostridiaceae.
CUCUUAUCAAGAGUGGUGGAGGGACAAAGGCCCAAUGAAACCCAGCAACCGGCUAUUAAAAGCAAUGGUGCCAAUUCCUGCAGGAUUUUCUGCAAGAUAAGAA